UCUUAUAGAGCAACACUACUUUAACAGAUGGAGCAGGCCCUGAGCUGAGGAGAUGCAACAUUUGCCAAACAAAGGGGAGCUGCGCAAAGCUUGUUGCUCAUUUGUAGGGAUACCGACGGUCAAGUGUAGAGUAUGGUGGUGCCACCAGACACAUUUACCAUCCCUACAGCAAGAUUUCCUCCCAAAGACUUGGUUUAUCUUGAGACCAAUGCUGUUUCCCAAUUGUCAUUCCACUGUGAUGCCUGGAGAAAACUGAGGAGUCAUGACAGUAACAUUGCAGUUUAGAUACACAGACUACUCACCUUAGACAUAAACCUGCUAAAGAUUUAUUGAUAAAUUGUAUUGUAUUUGCAUAUUCAUUGGUUGAAAUAUUCCAAACCUGUUAAAAAUGGGACAUGGGAUAGAGGUAAUAAUAAUAUCCAGUAUUGAAAACAAGGCUGUGUGUUAUCUGUACAUUCAUUUAGACUUGCAGCUUAGUGUAAAUAGUCCAGUCCCUGAGGGCAGUGAGAUGCUUGUUCAUGGCAAAUUAUAAAGCACUGGUUUUACCUUAUUAUCCCAACAGAUCACUUUGGUCCCAAAAUGCUGGCUUACUUUUGGUUCCCAGAGUCUGAGACUAAGAGUAGAAUGGGAGGCA
Molecule: long non-coding RNA, 634 nt
Organism: Solea senegalensis (Senegalese sole)
Lineage: Eukaryota; Metazoa; Chordata; Actinopteri; Pleuronectiformes; Soleidae
Exons: 3
Source: RefSeq, a predicted model, not a curated record